UUAUCCCUUCAUCACUCUAUUGUUUCUCUUUCUUUCUCGAUACAACCAUUUUUUCCCAUGAACCUUCUUCAUCCCAUCUCUUUCUCUUGUUUUUUCGUUCUCUCUGCAAGUUUAAUCUCUCAAUCGACAUCUGCAAAAAAAAAAAAAAAAACUAUUUUGUUUUAAUUUUCUUCUUCUACAAUGAAUCCAUAUCUAGAAGGUGAAAUCGAUUACUGGAUGCAAAGAUAUGUUGGGGUUCAAUACAGUCAAACAAAUAAUCAAUUUCAAUGGUAGUCUAUGCUGUGAUUGAUAACAUCCUUCUUGCCCUUAAUUGAGGGUUGCGGUUUACUUCAACUGGUUCAUAUUCUGAUUCCUGAUUAUGAUGGUCUGUUGGUGGUGAUUAAGAUGGUCAGUUUGCUAAGAAGAUUUGUCUCACACUGCUUGUCUAUUUUGUGAGUUGAGGCCUUGAAUGAUUACUGAUGGAUUUACUGUUAGUGGUGGAGUGUGCUGGUGGUGUUUGUGAUGUUAAUGGUGCUGUUAUUGUUAGUUCGGAGGUGCAAUUAUUGGUGCUGCUGCUACCUGGAGGUGGUGGUGGUCUCUUAAUAAUUACAUAAAACAUUGAGGGUUAGCAAAUGCAAAAAACAAAAAUUAGUUUAAGCUGGAAAAAAUUCAGGUGUUGUUCUUGCUUCUACUAAGAUUAACUAACAGAAGAACCCUCCAAGAGCGGUGCACAAAACUGCCAUGAAGAAGGAAUUCAGUAGAAUGGCUAAGGCUGUUGCCAACUAGGUAAUACACUUGUUUUUACUUUGUAUAAGGUGUACUCCUGUGUUCGUGUAUCUUUGAUUGUAUCUGUUGAUUUUGUUUAUAAUUGCCAUGUCGUUGUUCUAACUUCUAAGGAGGAGGUUAAGUUCUGUAUUUCAUUGUUUAGGCACUUGGUUUGCUUGUUUGUAUAAUGGGGUUUUACAGGUCCCUUGGCUGACCACGAUAUGAUUCUUUGUGAAGUUAAGUGGAAGGGAUGUAGAAUCCUGUGGCAGACGGUGGUUUAUUAUAUUGUUCAUAGGACGAUUCACUCACUUAGGAGUUAUUGGAUCCAUAGAGUUUGAAUGCUUUUUGAUAGACACUGGCGCAACUUGUAAAACAAUUUGUAUAAUGUUGGAAACCUUCUCGUUUGCUUGAGGAUUUUCAUUAUCCAGACUCCUAAUACCUUCUUACCCUUUAAACUGCCAUUUGAGAAAUCUUAGAGAUGAGAAUCACAAUCUACUCUAGGUAAUUAGUCAUACACGUGUGUGGGUAAAAUACCCGACAGCCACGUGUCGACAUUCCAAGGGGUGAAUAUAUGAUGAGAUGAUGAGGUGAUGAAGCACGAGGUUCUCCACAGAAGGGCAACACGAUCCAAGGGAGAGCGAGAUAACUCGCAGGGAGAACCAAGUAUGCCAUCACGAGGGACGAUAUAAAGCGACUCCGAGGGAUCCAGGACGAAGGAUGACAACUCACCCAACUCGGACGAUCAAGCGACCACGAGUUUAUUCUAUCUAUAAAUAGCAUUCCAUGUACUAGGAGAUGGACAACUUAUAUAAUCAUAGAUGGUUUUUCUACAGAGAAUUCCUGAGAGAGAUUUAGAUAGAGAGAAAUUGAGAAAUCUAGAAGAGAUCUGUAACACUUUCA
Molecule: long non-coding RNA, 1644 nt
Organism: Papaver somniferum (opium poppy)
Lineage: Eukaryota; Viridiplantae; Streptophyta; Magnoliopsida; Ranunculales; Papaveraceae
Exons: 4
Source: RefSeq, a predicted model, not a curated record